UGGAUCCGUAACUUCGGG
Molecule: small nuclear RNA, 18 nt
Filed under: Arabidopsis thaliana (thale cress)
Lineage: Eukaryota; Viridiplantae; Streptophyta; Magnoliopsida; Brassicales; Brassicaceae
Description: snRNA_00952
Source: RNAcentral